Non-coding RNA from Cinara cedri, 271 nucleotides. The record is from the annotation of a GenBank genome assembly. Lineage: Eukaryota; Metazoa; Arthropoda; Insecta; Hemiptera; Aphididae.
ACUGGAAUUUUGUAAAUCCUGCGGGGCACUGCAUCGUGGUCUGCUGCAGGCGCGAGAAAAAACGCAUACUAUUAAAUUUCGAUCUGACGGAGAAAGAGAAAAUUAAUUCUCAGAUAAGGUUAAUAUUUGUACGGACGUAAACAAAUAAUAUUAUAAAACACCUGCUGAGAAGAUUUUUUACUUUUUUUUUUUUUUUUUUGUAAUACAAUAAUAUGACCGUCGUGCUCGGAAUAUCGGGUUACGACCGCGAUUUACGCGUGUUUGACGCGAC